GAUGAAGAACGUAGCGAAAUGCGAUAAGUAGUGUGAAUUGCAGAAUUCAGUGAAUCAUCGAAUCUUUGAACGCACAUUGCGCCCCUUGGUAUCCCGAGGGGCAUGCCUGUUCGAGCGUCAUUUCACCACUCAAGCCUGGCUUGGUGUUGGGCGACGUCCUCUUUGGGGACGCGCCUCGAAACGCUCGGCGGCGUGGCACCGGCUUUAAGCGUAGCAGAAUCUUUCGCUUUGGAAGUCGGGGCCCCGUCUGCCGGAAGACCUGCUCGCAAGGUUGACCUCGGAUCAGGCAGGGAUACCCGCUGAACUUAAGCAUAUCAAUAAGCGGAG
This 327-nucleotide unclassified non-coding RNA is filed under the name soil metagenome. RNAcentral's name for it is "partial contains 5.8S ribosomal RNA, internal transcribed spacer 2, and large subunit ribosomal RNA". The stretch from base 1 to 120 matches the Rfam family "5.8S ribosomal RNA", at positions 35 to 154 of the family's 154-position model. The record is from RNAcentral.